GAUGAACGCUGGCGGCGUGCCUAAUACAUGCAAGUCGAGCGAACAGAUGAGGAGCUUGCUCCUCUGACGUUAGCGGCGGACGGGUGAGUAACACGUGGAUAACCUACCUAUAAGACUGGGAUAACUUCGGGAAACCGGAGCUAAUACCGGAAAAUAUAUUGAACCGCAUGGUUCAAUAGUGAAAGACGGUUUUGCUGUCACUUAUAGAUGGAUCCGCGCCGCAUUAGCUAGUUGGUAAGGUAACGGCUUACCAAGGCAACGAUGCGUAGCCGACCUGAGAGGGAGAUCGGCCACACUGGAACUGAGACACGGUCCAGACUCCUACGGUAGGCAGCAGUAGGGAAUCUUCCGCAAUGGGCGAAAGCCUGACAGAGCAACGCCGCGUGAGUGAUGAAGGUCUUCGGAUCGUAAAACUCUGUUAUUAGGGAAGAACAAAUGUGUAAGUAACUAUGCACGUCUUGACGGUACCUAAUCAGAAAGCCACGGCUAACUACGUG
RNAcentral lists this ribosomal RNA (497 nucleotides) under uncultured bacterium. RNAcentral's name for it is "partial 16S ribosomal RNA". It matches the Rfam family "Bacterial small subunit ribosomal RNA", at positions 28 to 507 of the family's 1533-position model. The record is from RNAcentral.